CAGUCGCGUUGGCCAGGAAUCAACCUUGCUUUUCUGCUUGGUGUACUUUCUGGUUGAUGGGUCAGCAUCAAUUUUGAUCAGUGGAAAAAGAUCAAGGGAAUGUGGCAGCUUGCUGUGUUAUAGCCUUCGGCAGAUGUGAUGAUCGGGAUUGAGGUAUUGCAACGGAUACCCGUUCGGGGCUACCCGUCUGA
RNAcentral lists this ribosomal RNA (191 nucleotides) under Glomus cf. clarum. Lineage: Eukaryota; Fungi; Glomeromycota; Glomeromycetes; Glomerales; Glomeraceae. The record is from RNAcentral.